UCUGACAAUGUUGCACUACU
RNAcentral lists this microRNA (20 nucleotides) under Alligator mississippiensis (American alligator). RNAcentral describes it as "ami-miR-301b-5p". Its record names the gene ami-miR-301b-5p. Lineage: Eukaryota; Metazoa; Chordata; Crocodylia; Alligatoridae. RNAcentral also lists the same sequence under 3 other names. The record is from miRBase by way of RNAcentral.